UUUUUGGUGGGACAGUGUGUUGUCGGUGGAACAGUGUGUUGGUGGAACAGUGUAUUGUUGGUGGAACAGUGUGUUGUUGGUGUUGUUGGUGGAACAGUGUGUUGUUGGUGGGACAGUGUGUUGUUGGUGGAACAGUGUGUUGUUGGUGGAACAGUGUGUUGUUGGUGGAACCGUGUGUUGUUGGUGGGACAGUGUGUUGUUGGUGGAACAGUGUGUUGUUGGUGAACAGUGUGUUGUUGGUGGAACAGUGUGUUGUUGGUGGAACAGUGUGUUGUUGGUGGAACCGUGUGUUGUUGGUGGGACAGUGUGUUGUUGGUGAAC
RNAcentral lists this long non-coding RNA (321 nucleotides) under Cottoperca gobio. RNAcentral describes it as "lncRNA (ENSCGOG00000002106.1)". The record is from RNAcentral. Lineage: Eukaryota; Metazoa; Chordata; Actinopteri; Perciformes; Bovichtidae.